CUGAUCAUACAGAGCAAAUGACAUACACAAACAUGAAGACAACCCUAUGAACUAAGACAAAACCUUUGACAAAUAUUACAAACAAAUUAUAAAAAACCGUGGAUCUCCACUAGUACAUUAAUAACAUUACAAAAACAAGAAGAGUGAAACGGGAAAUACAAUAACUCAAAGAAGAAAAGUAAAGCGAAACAGUAAUUUUCCAUCUUCUGUAAGCUUUAAGGACGCA
RNAcentral lists this long non-coding RNA (226 nucleotides) under Brassica rapa (field mustard). Its description in RNAcentral is "long non-coding RNA (BRAP_LNC006641)". The record is from RNAcentral. Lineage: Eukaryota; Viridiplantae; Streptophyta; Magnoliopsida; Brassicales; Brassicaceae.